GUUUGAUCCUGGCUCAGGAUAAACGCUGGCGGCGUGCCUUAUGCAUGCAAGUCGAACGCGGCUAGGACUUCGGUCCGAAACCGAGUGGCGGACGGGUGAGUAACACGUACGUGACCUGUCCGGAAGUGGGGAAUAACCAGCCGAAAGGUUGGCUAAUACCGGUUACCCCUUGGAAGGGGCAAACCAAAGUCGCAAGACGCUUCCGGAGGGGCGUGCGGCCGAUUAGCUAGUUGGUGUGGUAACGGCGCACCAAGGCGAUGAUCGGUAGCUGGUCUGAGAGGAUGGUCAGCCACACUGGGACUGAGACACGGCCCAGACUCCUACGGGAGGCAGCAGCAGGGAAUAUUGCGCAAUGGGCGAAAGCCUGACGCAGCGACGCCGCGUGGGGGAUGAAGGCCUUCGGGUUGUAAACCCCUUUCAGCAGGGACGAAGCGAAAGUGACGGUACCUGCAGAAGAAGCGCCGGCUAACUACGUGCCAGCAGCCGCGGUAAU
RNAcentral lists this ribosomal RNA (493 nucleotides) under uncultured bacterium. RNAcentral describes it as "bacterial SSU rRNA". It matches the Rfam family "Bacterial small subunit ribosomal RNA", at positions 11 to 524 of the family's 1533-position model. The record is from RNAcentral.